CAUAAUUAAUUGAAAGUAUUAACACAAGCCAUCAAAUUCAAAUAGAACAUCAAGAAACAUGGGAGAGAAUGUCAAGAAACAUGGGAGAUAUAAUUAAAUGCCUUCCGAUCUUCUUGAGAUGUUCCAUGGCAGCUAAUGACAAGAGUAAAGGUAAGGCUUAUUAGGAGAAGCCAAGUAAGAUAGGAAUGUUGACAUGCCAUUUUAGGAGGUUCCCUUGCAUAAGAGUAUUUUUGUGCAUACAGGAAAGAACAGAACAUGACUUAAUUUAUAGAAGCAAAAAAGUCAAAUUACUCCCAUAGGGUUCUCAGACAUGUUUAUUUAUUAAGCAUGUCAACCAAG
RNAcentral lists this unclassified non-coding RNA (339 nucleotides) under Hevea brasiliensis (rubber tree). The record is from RNAcentral. Lineage: Eukaryota; Viridiplantae; Streptophyta; Magnoliopsida; Malpighiales; Euphorbiaceae.